UCGUCCUACGGGAGGCAGCAGUAGGGAAUCUUCCACAAUGGGCGAAAGCCUGAUGGAGCAACGCCGCGUGGGUGAAGAAGGUCUUCGGAUCGUAAAACCCUGUUGUUAGAGAAGAAAGUGCGUGAGAGUAACUGUUCACGUUUCGACGGUAUCUAACCAGAAAGCCACGGCUAACUACGAGCCAGCAGCCGCGGUAAUACGAAGGUGGCAAGCGUUAGCCGGAUUUAUUGGGCGUAAAGGGAACGCAGG
This 249-nucleotide ribosomal RNA is filed under the name uncultured bacterium. RNAcentral's name for it is "partial 16S ribosomal RNA". It matches the Rfam family "Bacterial small subunit ribosomal RNA", at positions 334 to 575 of the family's 1533-position model. The record is from RNAcentral.